ACGGGUGCAAAGGCGAAACGGGGCGCUGGUCCAAGGAAGAGGACGAGGCAUUGAAGAAAGCGGUCGAGGAGCACGGGACGAGUUGGAAUAAAAUCAGCCAGAUUGUCGGCCGGUCCAACGACUCC
Molecule: non-coding RNA, 125 nt
Filed under: Chloropicon mariensis
Lineage: Eukaryota; Viridiplantae; Chlorophyta; Chloropicophyceae; Chloropicales; Chloropicaceae
Source: RNAcentral